CCGGGUUGCGGACAGUGUCUGGUGGGUAGUUUGACUGGGGCGGUCUCCUCCCAAAGAGUAACGGAGGAGCACGAAGGUUGGCUAAUCCUGGUCGGACAUCAGGAGGUUAGUGCAAUGGCAUAAGCCAGCUUGACUGCGAGCGUGACGGCGCGAGCAGGUGCGAAAGCAGGUCAUAGUGAUCCGGUGGUUCUGAAUGGAAGGGCCAUCGCUCAACGGAUAAAAGGUACUCCGGGGAUAACAGGCUGAUACCGCCCAAGAGUUCAUAUCGACGGCGGUGUUUGGCACCUCGAUGUCGGCUCAUCACAUCCUGGGGCUGAAGUAGGUCCCAAGGGUAUGGCUGUUCGCCAUUUAAAGUGGUACGCGAGCUGGGUUUAGAACGUCGUGAGACAGUUCGGUCCCUAUCUGCCGUGGGCGCUGGAGAAUUGAGGGGGGCUGCUCCUAGUACGAGAGGACCGGAGUGGACGCAUCACUGGUGUUCGGGUUGUCAUGCCAAUGGCACUGCCCGGUAGCUAAAUGCGGAAGAGAUAAGUGCUGAAAGCAUCUAAGCACGAAACUUGCCCCGAGAUGAGUUCUCCCUGAGACUUUAAGUCUCCUGAAGGAACGUUGAAGACGACGACGUUGAUAGGUCGGGUGUGUAAGCGCAGCGAUGCGUUGAGCUAACCGAUACUAAUGAACCGUGAGGCUUAACCUUACAACGCCGAAGGUGUUU
Molecule: ribosomal RNA, 709 nt
Filed under: Enterobacter cloacae
Lineage: Bacteria; Pseudomonadati; Pseudomonadota; Gammaproteobacteria; Enterobacterales; Enterobacteriaceae
Also listed under: 4 other names
Description: bacterial LSU rRNA
Rfam family: Bacterial large subunit ribosomal RNA
Source: RNAcentral